GAAUAUUGGACAAUGGGGGCAACCCUGAUCCAGCCAUGCCGCGUGUGUGAAGAAGGCCUUUUGGUAGAAAAGCACUUUAAGCAGGGAAGAAGACUCAAUGGUUAAUACCCAUGGACGAUGAAAUUCGCUGCAGAAUAAGCACCGGCUAACUCUGUGCCAGCAGCCGCGGUAAUACAGAGGGUGCAAGCGUGCAUCGGAAUUACUGGGCGUAAAGCGAGCGUAGGCGGCUUGAUAAGUCAGAUGUGAAAUCCCCGGGCUUAACCUGGGAACUGCAUCUGAUACUGUUAGGCUAGAGUAGGUGAGAGGAAGGUAGAAUUCCAGGUGUAGCGGUGAAAUGCGUAGAGAUCUGGAGGAAUACCGAUGGCGAAGGCAGCCUUCUGGCAUCAUAUUGACACUGAGGUUCGAAAGCGUGGGUAGCAACC
RNAcentral lists this ribosomal RNA (422 nucleotides) under uncultured bacterium. RNAcentral describes it as "partial 16S ribosomal RNA". It matches the Rfam family "Bacterial small subunit ribosomal RNA", at positions 359 to 773 of the family's 1533-position model. The record is from RNAcentral.